Molecule: ribosomal RNA, 479 nt
Filed under: uncultured bacterium
Lineage: Bacteria
Description: partial 16S ribosomal RNA
Rfam family: Bacterial small subunit ribosomal RNA
Source: RNAcentral
GAUGAACGCUAGCGGGAGGCCUAACACAUGCAAGCCGAGCGGUAUUGUUUCUUCGGGCAUGCGAGAGCGGCGUACGGGUGCGUAACACGUGUGCAACCUGCCUUUAUCUGGGGGAUAGCCUUUCGAAAGGAAGAUUAAUACUCCAUAAUAUAUUGAACGGCAUCGUUUAAUAUUGAAAGCUCCGGCGGAUAGAGAUGGGCACGCGCAAGAUUAGCUAGUUGGUGAGGUAACGGCUCACCAAGGCGAUGAUCUUUAGGGGGCCUGAGAGGGUGAUCCCCCACACUGGUACUGAGACACGGACCAGACUCCUACGGGAGGCAGCAGUGAGGAAUAUUGGUCAAUGGGUGCAAGCCUGAACCAGCCAUCCCGCGUGAAGGACGACUGCCCUAUGGGUUGUAAACUUCUUUUGUAUAGGGAUAAACCUACCCUCGAGAGGGUAGCUGAAGGUACUAUACGAAUAAGCACCGGCUAACUCCGUG